RNAcentral lists this ribosomal RNA (484 nucleotides) under uncultured bacterium. Its description in RNAcentral is "partial 16S ribosomal RNA". It matches the Rfam family "Bacterial small subunit ribosomal RNA", at positions 30 to 507 of the family's 1533-position model. The record is from RNAcentral.
AUUGAACGCUGGCGGCAGGCCUAACACAUGCAAGUCGAGCGGAUGAAGGGAGCUUGCUCCUGGAUUCAGCGGCGGACGGGUGAGUAAUGCCUAGGAAUCUGCCUGGUAGUGGGGGAUAACGUCCGGAAACGGGCGCUAAUACCGCAUACGUCCUGAGGGAGAAAGUGGGGGAUCUUCGGACCUCACGCUAUCAGAUGAGCCUAGGUCGGAUUAGCUAGUUGGUGGGGUAAAGGCCUACCAAGGCGACGAUCCGUAACUGGUCUGAGAGGAUGAUCAGUCACACUGGAACUGAGACACGGUCCAGACUCCUACGGGAGGCAGCAGUGGGGAAUAUUGGACAAUGGGCGAAAGCCUGAUCCAGCCAUGCCGCGUGUUUGAAGAAGGUCUUCGGAUUGUAAAGCACUUUAAGUUGGGAGGAAGGGCAGUAAGUUAAUACCUUGCUGUUUUGACGGUACCAACAGAAUAAGCACCGGCUAACUUCGUG